Molecule: long non-coding RNA, 2315 nt
Organism: Bombus pyrosoma
Lineage: Eukaryota; Metazoa; Arthropoda; Insecta; Hymenoptera; Apidae
Exons: 7
Source: RefSeq, a predicted model, not a curated record
CUAGACAAAAAAAUGUAUGCAUCAACAAAAACAUUCAUCUUCUACGCAGCGCUUACUCGAAUCUUUCUCUAGAUCGAUAUUUACAAACAUCGUACAAUAAUUCGUAGCCCUACUGGCGGCAUUCAGUAUCACAGACACGUUUGUCUAACUUGGAAUGAGAGAAAGAAACUCUUCUAGUAAACUCGCGGACGGGACACUCGCAGUAUACGUUUCUGAAUACCAUGGUCUUCUCUACGACUUGUACGAGGAAUGCUCAACGAUAUCCAGGAAUUUUCGAGGCUCCUAGCAGUUGAGCAAUUUUGUUGGAAGGGAAACUUUAAGAUGGCGUAUCAGGUUAUUCGACAGCGGUUCGAUGCAGAAGUUCAAGAUUCUUUUCCACGAUAUCGAGGUAUUCGGGGACAACGAAAUUGGACAAUAAAGCUGGUUCCUGGAGUUAAACAAAACGUAUCUGUUAAACGGAAUACUGUUACGAAAUCUGCUCGCCAAACAAGGGCACUGCCGUACUUCCGAAUGACAUCGUAGUCUGUUCUCUGUGUAACGGAUUCCCGGACUCGAGAUUGUCAAUCGAAACAGGACUUUCGGCAUGCUUGUUACCACGUGACUUAAGCGUGUUCUAAGACAUGCCGAGUGGAGGCAGGGAGAUGAGGAGGGAGUUGGAAACUUUGAAUCUUGCAAACAGCCUCGAGGACUUGUUCGCCACCCUCGUGAAGACUAAUAAAGCUACGAACUGCGAAUAGGAACGGUAAAUGGCGGGAUUGCUAGGUAAGAAGUGGUCACCAUCCAUUAAAAUUAUCCAGCUCCUUACGAGAAUAUUCUACCAAAUGUCCAAAUUGGAAAAAUUGAGAAUAUAAAGAAUUAAAUAAAAAAAACUUAGAGAAUGAAACUAAACUAAAUAUGGAAAUAAUUAAAAACAUUGCAAAAUGUACCGUCGGUCACAAAAAUUUACACACACUCUCGACGAAUUUUAUGUAUCCGACUUAUCAGAAGAAAUUAAAAAUGUACUUUGUAUAAAAUUAUUUAGAUUUGUAUGCAAAAUGAUCUAUCUUUUCUCGAUAUAUUACGGUAUUUGUAAAAAGAAUUAAAAAUAUAAAGCAUUUAUGAACAAAAAUCAUGCUCGGAAAGUGCUUCGGAAAGAACAAAACCUUCGAUUUUAUCGAUGUCAAGAAUAUUGCGAGCCGUAGGCUGUUAUUGAGUCUUAUUAGGACUUUCAACGUGUUAAUAUUAAAUCUACUUGUUUCGUGACUUCAUAUUACUUGAACACCAUAUGCGUACGAACGUUUUAGUAGUUAGGAUCAAGACGCGUUCAAACAAAUGAGAGAGGCAUUUGAAAUCCUUACAGCGAGAAAGCAAUUAAAUUGGCGCCCCGCUGCUCUCUUCUUUCGUGGAAUCAGCCGGUGAGAAAGCGAUAAAAUUCGAUUAUUACCGAGCUUAAUGGCGCGGCUUAAACAUCUUUAGUUCAUCUUUGCCAAUGUCCAUCGCGAUUUUCGGCUUCACACUCGAAUGCUUGGCAAUUUUGUGAUCGUCAACGACUCGAAUGGAACGGCAGUUUUCACUGCCACGCAUUUGCGACGAGUUCCUUUUAAAAGGAUCGAUCUCGAUAGCGGCUUUGAAUGGCGAUACUCUGAAGGACCGUUGCGGUUCUAAUUCGUGGAUGUUACAACUAUAGUUUCGGGAUGCCGACUGUCAACAAGAAGAUCAAGAGGAUCAACGCUCUCUGUUGUUCCACGCGCCGCGCCGCCUAUGACUUGGGGAUACUCGGGUUCACGGUGGAGAGCGAUAAGAGUUUUCUAGAAGGAUCUGAUCAUGGACCGCUGGCGGGCUGAUAAAUCCUUUGGCAACAGAACUGACAGCGACGCAACGUCUGGAUCGACUGGAUUCAACGAAAGCAGCCUGAAUCCUGAGACUUCCUAAACUUAUUACGCUUCCCUGACGUUGAAAAUAAACGAUGAAGAAGAGCGGCAGACUGUAAAAACCAGGGAAUUUUUGUAAAACAAGUGGCUGCAACUCAGCUUGACGCCGCGCCGUGGAAACCGACUUCGAGGUUGCAUUAAGAGCUCCGCGGUAAAGUGUACUGUCAAUAAUUUAGAAACCCUCCGAUGAGUUUUUCUUUUCAAGCCAGCUACCGUACAGCAGAGACCAAUAGAAUGGUAAUAAGAUAAAGAAAAUGGGACGAAGGUAAAAAUUUUUGUUGUUUAAUGUAAUUUGCAGAGGUAGAAAUCCAUUAAAUAUGGAAAUCAGAAGUAGUAAUACCUUUUUGCUGUUUUAACGAAGUAAUUUUGAAAUCAUUCUUGAUUAUGCAGUCGUUUUAUUAUUAA